GUUGGUUUUGCGAUUGUCACAACUGAAGCACGCGAGCGGCGCACUACAUCAAGGUAAGUAAACAACAGCUUGUCUGCGAGAAAAGAUCUCUGUAGAUGCAUGGUGGAAUGUGUAUCUGAGAUUUUACCAGAAGACGCUGGACCAUAUGUUCAGAGAGUUAGAUUUUGAAUUGUGCGUCCAACUCCAUUGACUAGAAUCCCCCUGACAGCUCACUGAAGUGCCUGCUUUCCUCCGCUGCCAUGGCUUCCACACCUCCACCUCUCAUGAAGAAGCACAGUCAGACUGAUCUUGUGAGUCGCCUCAAGUCCCGAAAGGUCCUGGGUGUUGGUGGGGAGGAUGAUGAUGGAGAGGUGCACAGG
Long non-coding RNA from Sinocyclocheilus anshuiensis, 359 nucleotides. RefSeq lists it as uncharacterized. The transcript is spliced from 3 exons. The record is from RefSeq and is a predicted model, not a curated record. NCBI's taxonomy places the organism in Eukaryota, Metazoa, Chordata, Actinopteri, Cypriniformes, Cyprinidae.